Myxocyprinus asiaticus (Chinese sucker) is the source of this 1461-nucleotide long non-coding RNA. RefSeq lists it as uncharacterized. The record is from RefSeq and is a predicted model, not a curated record. NCBI's taxonomy places the organism in Eukaryota, Metazoa, Chordata, Actinopteri, Cypriniformes, Catostomidae. The transcript has 3 exons.
UGUGGAUGUGUGCCGGCUUCCCUGGAAGUCAUGAAUGUUGAAGCCAAUUCUCACGGAGGAGGGCGAGGCCGGGACAUGAUGCUGCACACCCAGCUCCUAAUCAGGCUAAUCAAGCCCUCGAGAGGGAUAAAGGCAACCGGAGGCGGCAAUUAGAGAGAGAGAAGGAGGAGGGAUGUGUUGUAGUAGAGUCCUCACCACUACCAUCCACCCCAACGGAGCAGCCGCGGCCAUCCGCCGGGGGACAGAGGAGCCCGGCUGCCUGAGAGUGGAGGAACGGCCGCCGACUGCGAGGGGAGGAGGGGCUCCUAGCCGACCGCCUGGAGUGGUCAGGGCCACUGCCAGGGGCGGAGGAGACCCCUACCGGCCGCUAAAACGCGGCGGGGUCAAGAGAGGACCGCCAACCACGAGCGGGGAAGGGCUCCUGGCCGACCGCCUGGAAUGGGAGAACUGCUGCCAGGGGCGGGGGAGACUACGGCAAGCACCAAGGGGAUAAAUACACAAUCACACACAUACACAGGGCAAAGUCACUUUAUGAAUUGCAUCCUUCAUCUGUUACGAUUGUUUAUGUUCACGUGGUACUCCUGUUUUUAUUUAACCGAUCUCCACGUAACAGGGAAGCAGAGAGAAAGUUGAAAUGAGUCAGAAUGUCUCCCCACUACCAUUCUGAACCGGUGUGUGUGUGUGUGUGACAGAGCUCCGGCUAAAGAGAACGAGACCUCAAGCACAACAUUUGGUAGGUGUGACACCCUCUGCCAAAAUUUAAGUUGUUCUGAACCGGCUAAUGAGAUGCCGGCUUUAAUAUACUGCAAUAAGUAUAACUUUAGACCUAUUUGUUGACUUCGCUGCCUGGCACGACGUCGCAGAAAUAGAAUCCAUUCCAAAAAUAGAAAGCCCUGUCGCUAUUGCCUGUCAUGGCUAGUAAGGAACAAAAAACUUUUAUCGCACAUCGUGGCAUCGCGUCUGGUUAGGACACGGUGUUACACAACCAAAAUAAUAUUAGGGUCAGAGAAAAGGACAAUAACAAUAUUUAAACAAUGUUUAAUGGUUCAUGUCUUCUGUUCAUCAUAUGGCUGUUCCUUUGUGACUGAGAUUGUUAAAAUAUCUUGAAAAAUGUUUUGUGGCAUACUAGGUGUACUAUGUAUCCUUUUAUUCUAAUUCUAUUCACCUUAUUUUGCAAUGCGGAAGUAAGCAGCGGCUGCAUUUCUAGCGAAUGUGACAAAGUUCCGCUUGGCAUUGACUGCAGUGUAAAUAACUAGAAGGUUAUACAGAAUUUUGUGAUAUGGGCUUAGAAAAUGUCGCACAACCAAAGGAUGUACAGCAGAAUUAUGUGCCAAUGUCGGAUAAUUUUCUCACAUCAGCAUUUGGAGUAAAAGAGUAAGUAAAUCAUUCACUUGUUGAUGUGUGUUGUUGUAUUGAAGAGAUGGUAAUAUAUUCUGCUUCUUUCUUUACCGAGAUCGUGGC